CUAGUCUUUCAACCACCUGUGAACUUUUGAUAGAUCUGUGAAGUCGUCUUUCAAGUCGUCAGACUUGGUUUGCUGGGAUUUAAACGUCUCGGUGUGACAACGCAGUCUAUUUACUUAACACACCCCAAAUGUAUGUCUACGAAUGUCAUUUAAUGGGCCUUGUGCCUAUAAACCAUAAUACAACUUUCAACAACGGAUCUCUUGGCUCUCGCAUCGAUGAAGAACGCAGCGAAAUGCGAUAAGUAAUGUGAAUUGCAGAAUUCAGUGAAUCAUCGAAUCUUUGAACGCACCUUGCGCCCCUUGGUAUUCCGAGGGGCAUGCCUGUUUGAGUGUCAUUAAAUUCUCAAACUCACAUUGGUUUUUUCCAUUUGUGAUGUUUGGAUUGUUGGGGGCUGCUGGCCUUGACAGGUCGGCUCCUCUUAAAUGCAUUAGCAGGACUUCUCAUUGCCUCUGCGCAUGAUGUGAUAAUUAUCACUCAUCAAUAGCACGCAUGAAUAGAGUCCAGCUCUCUAAUCGUCCGCAAGGACAAUUUGACAAUUUGACCUCAAAUCAGGUAGGACUACCCGCUGAACUUAAGCAUAUCAAUAAGCGGAGGAAAAGAAACUAACAAGGAUUCCCCUAGUAACUGCGAGUGAAGCGGGAAAAGCUCAAAUUUAAAAUCUGGUGGUCUUUGGCCAUCCGAGUUGUAAUCUAGAGAAGUGUUAUCCGCGCUGGACCGUGUACAAGUCCCCUGGAAUGGGGCGUCAUAGAGGGUGAGAAUCCCGUCUUUGACACGGACUACCAGGGCUUUGUGAUGCACUCUCAAAGAGUCGAGUUGUUUGGGAAUGCAGCUCAAAAUGGGUGGUAAAUUCCAUCUAAAGCUAAAUAUUGGCGAGAGACCGAUAGCGAACAAGUACCGUGAGGGAAAGAUGAAAAGAACUUUGGAAAGAGAGAUAAACAGUACGUGAAAUUGUUGAAAGGGAAACGCUUGAAGUCAGUCGCGUCUGCCAGGGAUCAACCUUACUUUUGUGAGGCGUACUUCCUGGUUGAUGGGUCAGCAUCAGUUUUGGUCGCUGGAUAAAGGUCAGAGAAAUGUGGCACCUUCGGGUGUGUUAUAGUCUUUGAUCAGAUACAGUGGCUGGGACUGAGGAACUCAGCGCCGCAAGGCUGUCUUAGGAUGCUGGCAAAAUGGCUUUAAUCGACCCGUCUUGAAACACGGACCAAGGAGUCUAACAUGCCUG
RNAcentral lists this ribosomal RNA (1220 nucleotides) under Pleurotus citrinopileatus. Its description in RNAcentral is "eukaryotic LSU rRNA". The stretch from base 540 to 1220 matches the Rfam family "Eukaryotic large subunit ribosomal RNA", at positions 1 to 686 of the family's 3401-position model. Lineage: Eukaryota; Fungi; Basidiomycota; Agaricomycetes; Agaricales; Pleurotaceae. The record is from RNAcentral.